GGAUGAACGCUGGCGGCGUGCCUACUCCAUGCAAGUCGAGCGAACGGACGAGAAGCUUGCUUCUCUGAUGUUAGCGGCGGACGGGUGAGUAACACGUGGAUAACCUACCUAUAAGACUGGGAUAACUUCGGGAAACCGGAGCUAAUACCGGAUAAUAUUUUGAACCGCAUGGUUCAAAAGUGAAAGACGGUCUUGCUGUCACUUAUAGAUGGAUCCGCGCUGCAUUAGCUAGUUGGUAAGGUAACGGCUUACCAAGGCAACGAUGCAUAGCCGACCUGAGAGGGUGAUCGGCCACACUGGAACUGAGACACGAUCCAGACUCCUACGGGAGGCAGCAGUAGGGAAUCUUCCGCAAUGGGCGAAAGCCUGACGGAGCAACGCCGCGUGAGUGAUGAAGGUCUUCGGAUCGUAAAACUCUGUUAUUAGGGAAGAACAUAUGUGUAAGUAACUGUGCACAUCUUGACGGUACCUAAUCAGAAAGCCACGGCUAACUACGUG
This 498-nucleotide ribosomal RNA is filed under the name uncultured bacterium. RNAcentral describes it as "partial 16S ribosomal RNA". It matches the Rfam family "Bacterial small subunit ribosomal RNA", at positions 27 to 507 of the family's 1533-position model. The record is from RNAcentral.